AGAGCUUGCUCUUAUGACGUUAGCGGCGGACGGGUGAGUAACACGUGGGCAACCUGCCUCGUAGACUGGGAUAACACCGAGAAAUCGGUGCUAAUACCGGAUGACUUCUUUCUCCGCAUGGAGAAAGGAUAAAAGUUGGUUUUGCUAACACUACGAGAUGGGCCCGCGGCGCAUUAGCUAGUUGGUAAGGUAAGAGCUUACCAAGGCGACGAUGCGUAGCCGACCUGAGAGGGUGAUCGGCCACACUGGGACUGAGACACGGCCCAGACUCCUACGGGAGGCAGCAGUAGGGAAUCUUCCGCAAUGGACGAAAGUCUGACGGAGCAACGCCGCGUGAGUGAUGAAGGUUUUCGGAUCGUAAAGCUCUGUUGUUAGGGAAGAACAUGUACCGUUCGAAAGGGCGGUACCUUGACGGUACCUAACGAGAAAGCCACGGCUAACUACGUGCCAGCAGCCGCGGUAAUACGUAGGUGGCAAGCGUUGUCCGGAAUUAUUGGGCGU
RNAcentral lists this ribosomal RNA (501 nucleotides) under Halalkalibacterium ligniniphilum. RNAcentral describes it as "bacterial SSU rRNA". It matches the Rfam family "Bacterial small subunit ribosomal RNA", at positions 75 to 561 of the family's 1533-position model. Lineage: Bacteria; Bacillati; Bacillota; Bacilli; Caryophanales; Bacillaceae. The record is from RNAcentral.